Molecule: ribosomal RNA, 496 nt
Filed under: uncultured bacterium
Lineage: Bacteria
Description: partial 16S ribosomal RNA
Rfam family: Bacterial small subunit ribosomal RNA
Source: RNAcentral
GAUGAACGCUGGCGGCGUGCCUAAUACAUGCAAGUCGAGCGAACAGAUAAGGAGCUUGCUCCUUUGACGUUAGCGGCGGACGGGUGAGUAACACGUGGGUAACCUACCUAUAAGACUGAAAUACCUCGGGGAACCGGGACUAAUUCCGGGUAACAAUUUAGAACGCAUGGUUUUUAAGGGGAAGAUUGUUUUGCCUACCCCUAUUAAAGGGCCCGCGCCGGAUUAGCUAGUUGGUAAGGUAACGGCUUACCAAGGCAACGAUACGUAGCCGACCUGAGAGGGUGAUCGGCCACACUGGAACUGAGACACGGUCCAGACUCCUACGGGAGGCAGCAGUAGGGAAUCUUCCGCAAUGGGCGAAAGCCUGACGGAGCAACGCCGCGUGAGUGAUGAAGGUCUUCGGAUCGUAAAACUCUGUUAUUAGGGAAGAACAAAUGUGUAAGUAACUGUGCACGUCUUGACGGUACCUAAUCAGAAAGCCACGGCUAACUACGUG